GGGUAUCCCCUGCUUCCCUGACUUCUCCAUGUGCAUCCCUCCGAAGCUGCGAGUUCUUCGAAGACGACGACCUUCCCCAAGAGAAGGAGGACCAUUCUUCCAUCAAGGGUAUAUGAGAAGCUUCGCUCCCCUGCAAGACCCUCCAAACAAGCUCUCAAAUUAUUUGUAUCAGCUAAAGAUUAAAGAAAUGAACAUUUUGAGAGUAUAAAUGACUAUUAUCCACCUC
Molecule: small RNA, 226 nt
Filed under: Echinops telfairi (small Madagascar hedgehog)
Lineage: Eukaryota; Metazoa; Chordata; Mammalia; Afrosoricida; Tenrecidae
Description: 7SK RNA (ENSETEG00000025064.1)
Rfam family: 7SK RNA
About the family: 7SK was discovered as an abundant small nuclear RNA in the mid-70s but a possible function has only recently been suggested.
Source: RNAcentral